Molecule: ribosomal RNA, 1734 nt
Filed under: Triticum aestivum (bread wheat)
Lineage: Eukaryota; Viridiplantae; Streptophyta; Magnoliopsida; Poales; Poaceae
Description: partial small subunit ribosomal RNA
Source: RNAcentral
AUGGAAGGCCUCUGCUUCAAGUGUUUUGAGGAAGGGCAUCUCAAGGCGGAUUGUACGAACAAGGUGGUUUGCCUCAGGUGUGGGGUGCCGGGGCAUGAGGCCAAGGAUUGCAAGCGCCCCUGCAGUCCCUCGCCGGAAGAAGAUCUGCGAAGGGCGGCUACGGCCAAGGUGGCUAGGCGCGGCGAGGCUGAGCAGUCCAUUCGUGCGAGGCCAGGUUCAAGAGGGCCACCGAUGCCGCUGCCUCCACCCGCGCCCCCAGUGGUGGCGUGGCAGUCGGGAGCGUGCACGGACUGGCCUUACCUUCCCUCCCUGAGGAUGGAGCCCGGGGGGCACGAGGAGUUCCUGCCGCCCGAGCUCUGCAUCGUCCGUCGCACUCGCAUCAUGGAAGACUUGGAGCGGCGCCUCCAGUUCGCGAUGGUGUCCUACGUCGGAGGGGCUAGGCGUGGUAUCUCGCCGGAGUUCGUGGCAGAGGCGCUGCACUCUGUGAUGGGAAUUUCGUCGGAGUGGUUCUCGGUGCAUGAGUUCAGACCGGAAGACUUCCUUGUGGUCUUCGCCAGGCAAGAGCAUCGCAAUAGCGUCGGAGCACGGCCAUCUAUUGAGCACAGGGGCGAGCGUCUGUUCUUCAGGCAGUGGAACCAGCAAGCUCAGGCGGUCCACUUCGUCAUGAGGUUUAGGGUCUCGCCGGUUCUUGAAGGAAUUCCGCCGCAUGCGUGCGAGCGCGAGGUCGCGGAGGAUAUUCUCGGCUCUGCCUGCCUCGUGGACACGGUUGCGGCUGAGACGAGCGUGCGCCGGGAUCUUUCUGCUUUCAAGCUCACGGCUUGGAUGGCGGAUCCGGAGAGCAUUCCGACGCUGCGCUGGCUGGCCGUGCCGGAGCCGGGCUUGGUCGCGCCACUUGUCAACCCGGAGCUACUUCAGUACAAGAUUCUCAUCCAUGUCGAUGCGGUGACUGAGUUCGAUGGGCCGGACGAGCCUUGGUUCCUCAGGGCGUCCUCGGAGAGCGGACGGAGCGGCAUUCCAGAUGAAGGCGAGGGCUCCAUGGGAGGCCGUGGAGGAGGAGAAAGAAGUUACACAUCGCAGCCGCGCUGGAGCUUCGGGGUCAGAGAUCUUCGUGGGCGCCGUGUUCACGGUGGGCCGGUGGCCGAGGCCCCUGCGUCGCCUGCGGCCUCGCCGGAGGCGAGUCCUAAGGCUGGCUCGGGCUGGCGCAUUCCCCCGACGAGCCCCCUAACCGUGCUGUCAUCUGGUCUGGUCUCCCUCCCCAUCCGGAGCAGGCUAACGCGAAGGACUUCCGCUUUUGACCGCCUUUUGCCUGCGCGAGUUCCCACAGAAGCAACAAACAGAGUUCGUGGCCAAUAUUCAAAUGGCAAAGGCGGGGAGACAACUGCUUCAGAUAGAGAUCGUGGCCAAUGUUUAAAUGGCCAAGGUGCGGAGACAGCUGCGAGCUUGGUGCCUAUCCGCUCGCCACCUACCGCUGGGCAGCUGAGGCUGGAGUCGGGGCCUGCCACUCGGGACCAGUGCGCCCUUCUUGCGUGGCGCUGCACGGUGAGCCGGAGCUGGUCGAGCCUGUUGUUGAGCGGACUGCUACACCCAUGCGUGGCAAUCAGCUAUUGGCCUUGGUUCCUGCACCUCCCCAGUCUUACAUGGAGCCAGGCGAGUUCGUGGUGGGCGCAUCUACCCCUGGCCCCACCUCUGGGCGGGUGCAUGAAUCUUCCCAGCCUGUCUCGGAGGCGCAUGUGA